Molecule: unclassified non-coding RNA, 306 nt
Filed under: uncultured fungus
Lineage: Eukaryota; Fungi
Description: sequence contains ITS1, 5.8S rRNA gene
Rfam family: 5.8S ribosomal RNA (bases 258-306)
Source: RNAcentral
UUUCCGUAGGUGAACCUGCGGAAGGAUCAUUAUUGAAAAGCCUUGGAGUUACUGUUGCUGGCCUUUUAACAAGGGCAUGUGCACGUAUCUCUAAUCCUAUUCAUCCACCUGUGCACUUUUUGUAGAAGUUCUUGAGGAUUGGCUUAUAGGUUUCUGACCUUGUAGUCGAUUUGAAAGGCUUCUAUGUUUUUACAAACCAUUAAGCAUGUUUAGAAUGUUCUUUUAUUGGGGCUUUAUUGACCCUUUAAAAUCUAUACAACUUUCAGCAACGGAUCUCUUGGCUCUCCCAUCGAUGAAGAACGCAGC